Mastomys coucha (southern multimammate mouse) is the source of this 102-nucleotide small nuclear RNA. The record is from RefSeq and is a predicted model, not a curated record. Lineage: Eukaryota; Metazoa; Chordata; Mammalia; Rodentia; Muridae.
GUGCUUGCUUUGAUAACACAUAUACUAAAAUUGGAACAGUACAGAAGAUUAGCAUGGCACCUGCGGAAUGACACGCAAAUUCGUGAAGCGUUCCAUAUUUAA